RNAcentral lists this ribosomal RNA (502 nucleotides) under uncultured Sphingobacteriales bacterium. RNAcentral's name for it is "bacterial SSU rRNA". It matches the Rfam family "Bacterial small subunit ribosomal RNA", at positions 903 to 1382 of the family's 1533-position model. The record is from RNAcentral. Lineage: Bacteria; Pseudomonadati; Bacteroidota; Sphingobacteriia; Sphingobacteriales.
CGCCUUGCCAGCCCGCUCAGAACUUAAAGGAAUUGACGGGGGCCCGCACAAGCGGUGGAGCAUGUGGUUUAAUUCGAUGAUACGCGAGGAACCUUACCUGGGCUCAAAUGUAUGUUGACGUAUUCUGAAAGGGAUACUUCUUCGGACAAUAUACAAGGUGCUGCAUGGUUGUCGUCAGCUCGUGCCGUGAGGUGUCGGGUUAAGUCCCAUAACGAGCGCAACCCCUAUCAUUAGUUGCCAUCAGGUCAAGCUGGGGACUCUAAUGAAACUGCCUACGCAAGUAGUGAGGAAGGUGGGGAUGACGUCAAAUCAGCACGGCCCUUACGUCCAGGGCUACACACGUGCUACAAUGGCCGGUACAACGGGCAGCGAAGGAGCGAUCCGGAGCGAAUCCUAAAAAGCCGGUCCCAGUUCGGAUUGCAGGCUGAAACUCGCCUACAUGAAGUUGGAGUUGCUAGUAAUCGCGAAUCAGAAUGUCGCGGUGAAUGCGUUCCCGGGUCUU